CCGCGGUAACACCGGCGGCCCGAGUGGUGAUCGUGAUUAUUGGGUCUAAAGGGUCCGUAGCCGGUUUGGUCAGUCCUCCGGGAAAUCUGAUAGCUCAACUAUUAGGCUUUCGGGGGAUACUGCCAGACUUGGAACCGGGAGAGGUAAGAGGUACUACAGGGGUAGGAGUGAAAUCUUGUAAUCCCUGUGGGACCACCUGUGGCGAAGGCGUCUUACCAGAACGGGUUCGACGGUGAGGGACGAAAGCUGGGGGCACGAACCGGAUUAGAUACCCGGGUAGUCCCAGCCGUAAACGAUGCUCGCUAGGUGUCAGGCAUGGCGCGACCGUGUCUGGUGCCGCAGGGAAGCCGUGAAGCGAGCCACCUGGGAAGUACGGCCGCAAGGCUGAACUUAAAGGAAUUGGCGGGGGAGCACAACAACGGGUGGAGCCUGCGGUUUAAUUGGACUCAACGCCGGACAACUCACCGGGGGCGACAGCAAUAUGUAGGCCAAGCUGAAGACUUUGCCUGAAUCGCUGAGGAGUGGUGGUGCAUGG
RNAcentral lists this ribosomal RNA (535 nucleotides) under uncultured archaeon. RNAcentral's name for it is "bacterial SSU rRNA". It matches the Rfam family "Archaeal small subunit ribosomal RNA", at positions 465 to 997 of the family's 1478-position model. The record is from RNAcentral.